Molecule: ribosomal RNA, 450 nt
Filed under: uncultured bacterium
Lineage: Bacteria
Description: bacterial SSU rRNA
Rfam family: Bacterial small subunit ribosomal RNA
Source: RNAcentral
AACGCGAAGAACCUUACCUGGGCUUGACAUGCUUGGAUUACCUCCAUGAAAGUGGAGUAGGCCCCGCAAGGGGAACAACAAGUACAGGUGCUGCAUGGCUGUCGUCAGCUCGUGUCGUGAGAUGUCGGGUUAAGUCCCUUAACGAGCGAAACCUUUGCCCUUAGUUACCAGCGGGUUAUGCCGGGGACUCUAAGGGGACUGCCGGUGUCAAACCGGAGGAAGGUGGAGAUGACGUCAAGUCCUCAUGGCCUUUAUGCCCAGGGCCACACACGUGCUACAAUGGGGUGCACAGAGCGAACCUAGAGCGCAAGCUGGAGGAAAUCGCAGAAAUCACCCCCCAGUUCAGAUUGGAGGCUGCAACCCGCCUCCAUGAAGUUGGAAUCGCUAGUAAUCGCGGAUCAGCUACGCCGCGGUGAAUGUGUUCCCGGGCCUUGUACACACCGCUCGCGA